Molecule: ribosomal RNA, 426 nt
Filed under: uncultured bacterium
Lineage: Bacteria
Description: bacterial SSU rRNA
Rfam family: Bacterial small subunit ribosomal RNA
Source: RNAcentral
UCGAGAAUUUUUCACAAUGGGCGCAAGCCUGAUGGAGCGACGCCGCGUGGGGGAUGAAUGGCUUCGGCCCGUAAACCCCUGUCAUUUGCGAUCAAACCUUGCUAUUUAAAAGAUGGCGAGCUGAUAGUAGCGAAAGAGGAAGGGACGGCUAACUCUGUGCCAGCAGCCGCGGUAAUACAGAGGUCCCAAGCGUUGUUCGGAUUCACUGGGCGUAAAGGGUGCGUAGGUGGUGGGGUAAGUCGGAUGUGAAAUCUCGGAGCUCAACUCCGAAAUAGCAUUGGAAUCUACCCUGCUAGAGGGUCGGAGGGGGGACUGGAAUUCUCGGUGUAGCAGUGAAAUGCGUAGAUAUCGAGAGGAACACCAGUGGCGAAGGCGAGUCCCUGGACGACUCCUGACACUGAGGCACGAAAGCUAGGGGAGCAAACA